UGAGGAAUAUUGGUCAAUGGGCGAGAGCCUGAACCAGCCAAGUAGCGUGCAGGAUGACGGCCCUAUGGGUUGUAACCUGCUUUUAUGUGGGGAUAAAGUGCGUGACGUGUCAUGCAUUGCAGGUACCACAUGAAUAAGGACCGGCUAAUUCCGUGCCAGCAGCCGCGGUAAUACGGAAGGUCCGGGCGUUAUCCGGAUUUAUUGGGUUUAAAGGGAGCGUAGGCUGUCUAUUAAGCGUGUUGUGAAAUAUACCGGCUCAACCGGUGGCUUGCAGCGCGAACUGGUCGACUUGAGUAUGCAGGAAGUAGGCGGAAUUCAUGGUGUAGCGGUGAAAUGCUUAGAUAUCAUGACGAACUCCGAUUGCGCAGGCAGCUUACUGUAGCAUAACUGACGCUGAUGCUCGAAAGUGCGGGUAUCAAACAGG
Molecule: ribosomal RNA, 424 nt
Filed under: Verrucomicrobiota bacterium
Lineage: Bacteria; Pseudomonadati; Verrucomicrobiota
Description: Verrucomicrobia bacterium partial 16S ribosomal RNA
Rfam family: Bacterial small subunit ribosomal RNA
Source: RNAcentral